AACGAACGCUGGCGGCAUGCCUAACACAUGCAAGUCGAACGAGACCUUCGGGUCUAGUGGCGCACGGGUUCGUAACGCGUGGGAACCUGCCCUUAGGUUCGGAAUAACUCCCCGAAAGGGGUGCUAAUACCGGAUAAUUUCUUCGGACCAAAGAUUUAUCGCCUUUGGAUGGGCCCGCGUUGGAUUAGCUAGUUGUUAGGGUAAAAGCCUACCAAGGCGACGAUACAUAGCUGGUCUGAGAGGAUGAUCAGCCACACUGGGACUGAGACACGGCCCAGACUACUACGGGAGGCAGCAGUGGGGAAUAUUGGAAAAUGGGCGAAAGCCUGAUCCAGCAAUGACGCGUGAGUGAUGAAGGCCUUAGGGUUGUAAAGCUCUUUUACCCGGGAUGAUAAUGACAGUACCGGGAGAAUAAGCGCCGGCUAACUCCGUG
RNAcentral lists this ribosomal RNA (433 nucleotides) under uncultured bacterium. RNAcentral's name for it is "partial 16S ribosomal RNA". It matches the Rfam family "Bacterial small subunit ribosomal RNA", at positions 29 to 507 of the family's 1533-position model. The record is from RNAcentral.